This 253-nucleotide ribosomal RNA is filed under the name uncultured bacterium. Its description in RNAcentral is "partial 16S ribosomal RNA". It matches the Rfam family "Bacterial small subunit ribosomal RNA", at positions 524 to 776 of the family's 1533-position model. The record is from RNAcentral.
UACGUAGGCAGCAAGCGUUGUUCGGAGUUACUGGGCGUAAAGGGUGCGUAGGCGGCUUCUUAAGUCUGGUGUGAAAUCUCCCGGCUCAACUGGGAGGGUGCGCCGGAUACUGAGGGGCUAGAGUGUGGGAGAGGAAAGUGGAAUUCCUGGUGUAGCGGUGAAAUGCGUAGAUAUCAGGAGGAACACCGGUGGUGUAAACGGCUUUCUGGACCAUAACUGACGCUGAGGCACGAAAGCGUGGGGAGCAAACAGG